RNAcentral lists this ribosomal RNA (839 nucleotides) under uncultured bacterium. Its description in RNAcentral is "bacterial SSU rRNA". It matches the Rfam family "Bacterial small subunit ribosomal RNA", at positions 56 to 893 of the family's 1533-position model. The record is from RNAcentral.
UGCAGUCGAACGGUAACAUUUCUAGCUUGCUAGAAGAUGACGAGUGGCGGACGGGUGAGUAAUGCUUGGGAACUUGCCUUUGCGAGGGGGAUAACAGUUGGAAACGACUGCUAAUACCGCAUAAUGUCUACGGACCAAACGGGGCUUAGGCUCCGGCGCAAAGAGAGGCCCAAGUGAGAUUAGCUAGUUGGUAAGGUAACGGCUUACCAAGGCGACGAUCUCUAGCUGUUCUGAGAGGAAGAUCAGCCACACUGGGACUGAGACACGGCCCAGACUCCUACGGGAGGCAGCAGUGGGGAAUAUUGCACAAUGGGGGGAACCCUGAUGCAGCCAUGCCGCGUGUGUGAAGAAGGCCUUCGGGUUGUAAAGCACUUUCAGUUGUGAGGAAAAGUUAGUAGUUAAUACCUGCUAGCCGUGACGUUAACAACAGAAGAAGCACCGGCUAACUCCGUGCCAGCAGCCGCGGUAAUACGGAGGGUGCGAGCGUUAAUCGGAAUUACUGGGCGUAAAGCGCACGCAGGCGGUUUGUUAAGCUAGACGUGAAAGCCCCGGGCUCAACCUGGGAUGGUCAUUUAGAACUGGCAGACUAGAGUCUUGGAGAGGGGAGUGGAAUUCCAGGUGUAGCGGUGAAAUGCGUAGAUAUCUGGAGGAGCAUCAGUGGCGAAGGCGACUCCCUGGCCAAAGACUGACGCUCAUGUGCGAAAGUGNNNNNAGCGAACAGGAUUAGAUACCCUGGUAGUCCACACCGUAAACGCUGUCUACUAGCUGUGUGUGUCUUUAAGACGUGCGUANCGAAGCUAACGCGCUAAGUAGACCGNCNGGGGAGUANGGCCGCANGG